GACGAACGCUGGCGGCGUGCUUAACACAUGCAAGUCGAGCGGGAUCCAACCGGUGGCAACACCGGGGAAGAUCUAGCGGCGAACGGGUGAGUAACACGUAGGUAACCUACCCUCGAGUCCACGGAUAACCUACCGAAAGGUGGGCUAAUACCGGAUAUGACCACGGGAGCCUCGGCUCCUGCGGUGAAAGGUGGCCUCUGCUUGCAAGCCACUGCUCGGAGAUGGGCCUGCGCGCCAUUAGCUAGUUGGUGGGUAACGGCCCACCAAGGCGAUGAUGGCUAGCUGGUCUGAGAGGAUGGCCA
RNAcentral lists this ribosomal RNA (302 nucleotides) under uncultured bacterium. RNAcentral's name for it is "bacterial SSU rRNA". It matches the Rfam family "Bacterial small subunit ribosomal RNA", at positions 28 to 306 of the family's 1533-position model. The record is from RNAcentral.